AUAGCAGUAUUCCGAUUGGCCGGAUACUUCACCUGGAAUGAAGAGGAUGCUGGUUCGAGUCCAGCCUGCUAUA
This 73-nucleotide transfer RNA is filed under the name Bacteroidota bacterium. RNAcentral describes it as "Bacteroidetes bacterium (activated sludge metagenome) tRNA-Pro". It matches the Rfam family "tRNA". From Rfam's summary of the family: Transfer RNA (tRNA) molecules are approximately 80 nucleotides in length. Their secondary structure includes four short double-helical elements and three loops (D, anti-codon, and T loops). The record is from RNAcentral. Lineage: Bacteria; Pseudomonadati; Bacteroidota.